RNAcentral lists this long non-coding RNA (1145 nucleotides) under Homo sapiens (human). RNAcentral describes it as "HSALNT0408435". The record is from RNAcentral. Lineage: Eukaryota; Metazoa; Chordata; Mammalia; Primates; Hominidae.
UUUUUUUUUAAAGAUCAUAUUUAUUUGGAGAAAACAAAAAACCCACAACCCACAGGAUGGGAUUUUACAUCAAGACAUCUCCCAGGUAAUAAGUCUACAGGUUACAAAUCAUUUUCAUGGAAGAUAUUUUUGUACAAAUUUUACGUGUAUUCAGGAGUGGGACAUUAAUCAAUCCCUGUUUCUAUUUUAAUAGGGGGGCAAGGUAGGGGAAAGGGAAAAACAGUUUUGGAUAUAACUAUUUGGAAGGAGAGUAGACAUGAAGAGGGCAAACCCUAGCUUUUCAUUAUCUACAAUCAAUAGUUUUUUUUUUCUUUUUAAAAAAAGAAAAAAAACCUUUCAAUCUUCAAUACUCUUUAAAAGCCCACUUCUUAGCUACUGGCCAAUCCACACCAAUUAUUUAAAUUCACUUGGUACACACCUUUGUCCACUGGGUAAAUUAUAUUCAUUAUGCCCACUGCUGCAGCACGCAUAAACCAACACCCCUGCAUGGCUGAGCAGGGCCUAAUCUAGGACUGAUGGGGGAAGGGCUUGCAAACCAAGAUCAAGGUGUCGUUUCUCUGCUAAUACUGUCUAUCAAGCUGAUCCCUACAAAGAAAUGCAUAUAAAAGCAGGCAAGUUUAGCUACUGUGUUGCAAGAGAAACCAGGACCUUGUUAAAUAGUUCUCUCCAUUACCGUUUAUUCUCUCAAGGGAAGCUAAAAAAACAAAAAAACAAAAAAAACAAAAAAACAAAAAAACAAAAAAAACACGUUGGUCUGGCCACCUCAUGAAUCCAACAAGCAUUAGUGUGGCAUUUCAGUGGAGAAGGAAACUUGGGGGGAAAAAAGCCUAUCAAGGUUGUAAGAAAGGCUCCCAAUUUAACUGUCCCUGUCCCUAUUUAUCCACCAUCCAAGACCAUCCAUUAUUCUAGAGCACUCUGAUCUAUAAAAGGGGUCAAAGCAUCAGGAACAGGCAAGGAGUGAGAACCAAAAGACAUCAAGAAACCGAUUUGCUUGAGAAAAGCAGCGAUUCUUCCUUUCACAGCUCUCCAUGGCUGAGAGAGAAAAUGCCCAAGACAUCAUGUAUGUGACUUAGAUACUGCUUUUUGGGAGGUUAAGAGUAUCAUGAAGAACUUAAGAUGACGAUAAGAGUCUAAAUUUUUAGUUU